UACGUAGGGUGCGAGCGUUAAUCGGAAUUACUGGGCGUAAAGCGUGCGUAGGCGGUUCUGCAAGUCAGAUGUGAAAUCCCCGGGCUUAACCUGGGAACUGCGUUUGAAACUACGGAGCUAGAGUGUGGCAGAGGGGGGUGGAAUUCCACGUGUAGCAGUGAAAUGCGUAGAGAUGUGGAGGAAUACCAAUGGCGAAGGCAGCCCCCUGGGAUAAUAUUGACGCUCAUGCACGAAAGCGUGGGGAGCAAACAGG
RNAcentral lists this ribosomal RNA (253 nucleotides) under uncultured bacterium. RNAcentral describes it as "partial 16S ribosomal RNA". It matches the Rfam family "Bacterial small subunit ribosomal RNA", at positions 524 to 776 of the family's 1533-position model. The record is from RNAcentral.